GAAUUGACGGGACCCGCACAAGCAGCGGAGCGUGUGGUUUAAUUCGUUGCUACACGAAGAACCUUACCUGGGUUUGACAUAUAGGUUGUAGGGAACUGAAAGGGACCGACCCUUCGGGGAGCCUAUACAGGUGUUGCAUGGCUGUCGUCAGCUCGUGUCGUGAGAUGUUCGGUUAAGUCCGCUAACGAGCGCAACCCUCGUCGUAUGUUAUAUGUGUCAUACGAGACUGCCGGUAAAAGCCGGAGGAAGGUGAGGAUGAUGUCAAGUCAGCAUGACCUUUAUAUCCAGGGCUACACACACGCUACAAUGGUCUGUACAAUGGGUAGCCAAGCCGCGAGGCGGAGCCAAUCCUGAAAGCAGGCCUCAGUUCAGAUUGCAGUCUGCAACUCGACUGCAUGAAGCCGGAGUUGCUAGUAACCGCAAGGUCAGCAAUACUGCGGUGAAUACGUUCCCGGGUCUU
This 460-nucleotide ribosomal RNA is filed under the name uncultured Anaerolineaceae bacterium. RNAcentral describes it as "bacterial SSU rRNA". It matches the Rfam family "Bacterial small subunit ribosomal RNA", at positions 907 to 1382 of the family's 1533-position model. Lineage: Bacteria; Bacillati; Chloroflexota; Anaerolineae; Anaerolineales; Anaerolineaceae. The record is from RNAcentral.